Molecule: small RNA, 889 nt
Filed under: Drosophila ananassae
Lineage: Eukaryota; Metazoa; Arthropoda; Insecta; Diptera; Drosophilidae
Description: GF26661
Source: RNAcentral
UCGACAGUAGGAUGUGCAAGUGCUGUGGUGAUCAUCCUUGGGAAAUUGAAACCCCAAGUCUGAUCUUGAGGGGGGAAUAUUUAUUGUAGCACUUGCCAUGACGGGGAGCGACACCUAUGAGCCGCAGUUGGCGGAGGGUGGCGCCAUCUAUGAGAAAAGGUUUAGCGUAGGUAUUGGGGGAGCGCCUGGAACAAAACGAAUUCCGGUAGUUCGCCAUUUGUGGACCCCAGGAGCCAGCCCGCCGAAAAUCCGGCGUCGGUCCGCUUAUGGGUAUGGGUGGGAUCAUUCCCAAGCAAGAUCUGCAACAAGCCAGACGUGUCAGCAAGGCGCUAAGCAGCAAAACCACGGGAGAAAAACCAACAAUAUUCGAAGAUCCCGCCGGCAGUUGUGACAAUUAAUUUUGGGGACGCUCAAAGGCUCCCAAUUGUCCACCGGCGUCAGUAAACCGAGUGUAGAGGUGGAAGUGGUGGCUCGAGGAAAACCCAGGGCAGGCCGAGCAAAAGUCCGAGUGGACUAUUCCGUGUCCACUAUUAAAGAACUCCAGGUGGCUCAACUAAGGAAGUCCAACCAAAGGCGGACGGAGGAGCACCGAGGAAGGAGAAGAAAUCCCGGCCUAAAAUAGGCUAACCGCAGCAAGUUCGCUUCGAACCGAAGCUAGGUUCGAGCGAACGGAGGAGCGCAGAGGAGGCGCUAACCGCAGUGUAGCGCGAUCUUCAAGAACGGGAGGGAGGAAAACAUCGGAGGUGUCCCAGUAAAAGGUCCAGGCUGAAUGGAUAUUCCAGCUUUGGAUCCGGUCCGUAGUGUCCCUGGCCAGUGAUUUCAAGGAGCCAUAUUAGAGAAGCAGUGUAAACCCAAAGUGAAAUGGAUAAGAUUUAAGCAAGAAAAAAAA